CGACACAGCCCUCAGUUGCAAGCCCGAGCCGAGCACUGCGUUAGUCACUGGGGCUUAGCAACUGGAGCUGCGUUUAAAUACCGAGACUCAGACUUUGCACAGAGCAGAAGAGCAGCUGGUUCCGUCUGCGGGGAGCAGGACAGCUUAGAGAAGACUAGAAAACACAUCAGCAAAGACGGGACAUUGCACUCUCCUGGUGCAAAAGAAGCAGAUAAGAAGUGCCAAGAACUUAUGAAGAAGUUGUUGCAGAUGGCACAGUCUAGAGAAGAAGAAGAGUGGGUCAAGAGAUGAAGAUAGAUGGCUGAAGCCAAAUUCUCUAAACGGCCACAGGUUUGGUCCCACCACCCAGAGGCCCCAGGCAUAGGGAGCUGUAUCUGACCCUGACGUCUGACUGCGGCCACCUUAAUAAUCCAACGUGACAACUCUUCAAGUUAUUGAUAUGAUGGAAAAUGGAAAAAAUAUGCAUUUUUAAAUGUCAAAUUAUCCUGUCGAUUUGAAAUGCCAAUGUUCUAUAAUAAGUUUUGUUUAGAAGAUAUUUCAGAAUGUUAAAGAAGUGCUUCUAGAAGUGCAGGAUGGUAUGGCUGUAAUUGUAUUAUUUUGCUACUUAAUGGCCUAGAACUGAGGAUACAGUGCAUGUUUCAGUUUACUUUCUUAAAAUGGUAAUAGAUUAUAUAAAUUAACAUGGUAUAUGCUUUUUAUUCAUUUAUGGGAAGCCAAAAGUGAAGAAGUCACACAAUCUGAGUUUCAUAGGCAGAACAUUCAUAUUUAGUUAUUUUGCUCUAUUUACAAUGGAUUUUUAAAAACUGUAAUUCACAUGAGUGCCAUCAUAUUAGGAUACAAGAAAUUGUUCAGAUUGUUUCCUGUUUCCAGCUUCUGUACUGGGGAAUAAAACACUGUGUUACAAAUGCAUAGUGUGAAUAAUGUGUGUGGUCAUUCAUGUUUCCAAUUAUUUUUAUUGUACAAAUGAAUUUAUUAUAGGGCAAUGGAAAAUGCAAUAAUUUGAUAUAUUUGGUAUUUAAAUAUGCAUGCUUUGUAUCUAGUAUAUGUUUAUAGACAAUAUGUUUGUACAAGUGUAUCUAGCAUGUUAGAUGGGUUUAUUAAUCUUGGAAUUACCGUGUAGUAAAAGCAUUAUUUCUCUAGUCUCUCUAUUGUUUAAUGGAAAUGACAAGUAGAUCAGACAUUUGGAGAUGAAUGAAGCAGCACCAAGAACAGUUCCCCUGGAAAAAAAACUCAAUAAACAUCUACAGUUGUAAAUCUAACCACUUUUCUUGGCAAAACAACAUUGAAGAACUGUUACAGAAUUAUAAAAUGUUGCAAAGCAGCCUUUUUAGGAUUGAACAAGAAUUUUUCCCUGUUCUGUUAAAUAAAGACGGCUGAUCACAAA
Long non-coding RNA from Columba livia (rock pigeon), 1384 nucleotides. RefSeq lists it as uncharacterized. The transcript has 2 exons. NCBI's taxonomy places the organism in Eukaryota, Metazoa, Chordata, Aves, Columbiformes, Columbidae. The record is from RefSeq and is a predicted model, not a curated record.